This 898-nucleotide ribosomal RNA is filed under the name Fusarium proliferatum. RNAcentral's name for it is "LSU rRNA". It matches the Rfam family "Eukaryotic large subunit ribosomal RNA", at positions 38 to 966 of the family's 3401-position model. The record is from RNAcentral. Lineage: Eukaryota; Fungi; Ascomycota; Sordariomycetes; Hypocreales; Nectriaceae.
GCAUAUCAAUAAGCGGAGGAAAAGAAACCAACAGGGAUUGCCCUAGUAACGGCGAGUGAAGCGGCAACAGCUCAAAUUUGAAAUCUGGCUCUCGGGCCCGAGUUGUAAUUUGUAGAGGAUACUUUUGAUGCGGUGCCUUCCGAGUUCCCUGGAACGGGACGCCAUAGAGGGUGAGAGCCCCGUCUGGUUGGAUGCCAAAUCUCUGUAAAGUUCCUUCGACGAGUCGAGUAGUUUGGGAAUGCUGCUCUAAAUGGGAGGUAUAUGUCUUCUAAAGCUAAAUACCGGCCAGAGACCGAUAGCGCACAAGUAGAGUGAUCGAAAGAUGAAAAGCACUUUGAAAAGAGAGUUAAAAAGUACGUGAAAUUGUUGAAAGGGAAGCGUUUAUGACCAGACUUGGGCUUGGUUAAUCAUCUGGGGUUCUCCCCAGUGCACUUUUCCAGUCCAGGCCAGCAUCAGUUUUCCCCGGGGGAUAAAGACUUCGGGAAUGUGGCUCUCUUCGGGGAGUGUUAUAGCCCGUUGUGUAAUACCCUGGGGGGGACUGAGGUUCGCGCAUCUGCAAGGAUGCUGGCGUAAUGGUCAUCAACGACCCGUCUUGAAACACGGACCAAGGAGUCGUCUUCGUAUGCGAGUGUUCGGGUGUCAAACCCCUACGCGUAAUGAAAGUGAACGCAGGUGAGAGCUUCGGCGCAUCAUCGACCGAUCCUGAUGUUCUCGGAUGGAUUUGAGUAAGAGCAUACGGGGCCGGACCCGAAAGAAGGUGAACUAUGCCUGUAUAGGGUGAAGCCAGAGGAAACUCUGGUGGAGGCUCGCAGCGGUUCUGACGUGCAAAUCGAUCGUCAAAUAUGGGCAUGGGGGCGAAAGACUAAUCGAACCUUCUAGUAGCUGGUUUCCGCCGAAG